AAUAGCUCACUGGUCAAGUGAUUCCGCGCCGACAAUGUAGCGGGGCUCAAGCACAUCACCGAAGCUGUGGCAAUGACACACUGACCCUUAACGGGGGUGUUGUUGGGUAGGGGAGCGUCGUGUGGCGAGUGAAGCGGCCGAGUGAUCGAGUCGUGGAUGCUACACGAGUGAGAAUGCAGGCAUGAGUAGCGAAUGACGGGUGAGAAACCCGUCCGCCGAAUAACCAAGGGUUCCAGGGUCAAGCUAAUCUGCCCUGGGUAAGUCGGGACCUAAGGCGAGGCCGACAGGCGUAGUCGAUGGACAUCCGGUUGAUAUUCCGGAACCGGCGAAGAACCGCCCAUACUGAACCAUGGGAUGCUAAACACCCGAACCAUGCCAACCGGUCCUUCGGGAUCAUCUGGUGUGGGGAGCGUGUGACCCGAUCGUGUAGUAGGUAAGCGAUGGAGUGACGCAGGAAGG
Molecule: ribosomal RNA, 459 nt
Filed under: Neisseria gonorrhoeae
Lineage: Bacteria; Pseudomonadati; Pseudomonadota; Betaproteobacteria; Neisseriales; Neisseriaceae
Description: partial 23S ribosomal RNA
Rfam family: Bacterial large subunit ribosomal RNA
Source: RNAcentral